Molecule: long non-coding RNA, 605 nt
Organism: Mastomys coucha (southern multimammate mouse)
Lineage: Eukaryota; Metazoa; Chordata; Mammalia; Rodentia; Muridae
Exons: 3
Source: RefSeq, a predicted model, not a curated record
CUCAAAUAUUGUUAGGGCUCUGUGUGCAUAGACAUUAGUAACUCUUUCUGGACAGCAGGUUUUGAAUGUGGAGUAAACUGAGGAAGAGCAGAGAGAAUCCUGCAUCACUGUAGGCUAAGGUGGCUGUUGAGCAAGGAGGAAGACAGUGGAGGAUUAGAAGACUGCAAGCUUUACCCUUCAUAAAAGCACCGGCAAGCGGAAAGAAAUGACAGUAAGACUGAAUUAUGAACUUUAAAGAGUUGAGAACAAGUCAUUGCUUGUACUGUGAGACCUGCUCACUCUGCUCUGGAUUAACUGUCUGCAAUAGGUCAUUGGUUUCUGCAAUCUGCAUACAUGGAAACCUCGGUGUGAGCAGAACAUUGAAGAUCAGAAUGAAUAUUUAGUCUCCGGAGAACUGGUCUUCCAUCUUUAUGUGGACUAUCGUGUGAGGGAGGUGAUUAAAUAAAUCUAUUGAGAGUAUUUACACUUCAGUUAUGUCAGGGCCACACAUACAUUGUGUCUGUCUCUACAUGUGACAGAAUACUGCCUUCUCUAGGUUUGAUUGUCAUGAUUUGUUUAUUAUUAUCACUAUUAUCCAUGAAUAAAACCUCUUUCUGCAUACCUGA